This 203-nucleotide ribosomal RNA is filed under the name Haynesina sp. S16. RNAcentral describes it as "partial small subunit ribosomal RNA". It matches the Rfam family "Eukaryotic small subunit ribosomal RNA", at positions 1197 to 1370 of the family's 1831-position model. The record is from RNAcentral. Lineage: Eukaryota; Foraminifera; Rotaliida; Nonionidae.
GACUCACGCGGGAAUCUUACCGGGUCCGGACACACUGAGGAUUGACAGACAAAUACACACACUACGGUGUGUGCAUGAAAUAUGCUAGUUCUUUCAUGAUUAUGUGAUAGGUGGUGCAUGGCCGUUCUUAGUUCGUGGAGUGAUCUGUCUGCUUAAUUGCGUUUCACUAAAGGCACAUACACAUAAUAUUGAUGUGUUGUGUG